CCUACGGGUGGCAGCAGUGGGGAAUAUUGGACAAUGGGGGGAACCCUGAUCCAGCCAUGCCGCGUGUGUGAAGAAGGCCCUCGGGUUGUAAAGCACUUUCAGUGAGGAAGAACGCCUGGUGGUUAAUACCCAUCAGGAAAGACAUCACUCACAGAAGAAGCACCGGCUAACUCCGUGCCAGCAGCCGCGGUAAUACGGAGGGUGCGAGCGUUAAUCGGAAUUACUGGGCGUAAAGCGCGCGUAGGUGGUUUGAUAAGCCGGUUGUGAAAGCCCCGGGCUCAACCUGGGAACGGCAUCCGGAACUGUCAAGCUAGAGUGCAGGAGAGGAAGGUAGAAUUCCCGGUGUAGCGGUGAAAUGCGUAGAGAUCGGGAGGAAUACCAGUGGCGAAGGCGGCCUUCUGGACUGACACUGACACUGAGGUGCGAAAGCGUGGGUAGCAAACAGGAUUAGAUACCCGUGUAGUC
Molecule: ribosomal RNA, 465 nt
Filed under: Vreelandella stevensii
Lineage: Bacteria; Pseudomonadati; Pseudomonadota; Gammaproteobacteria; Oceanospirillales; Halomonadaceae
Description: partial 16S ribosomal RNA
Rfam family: Bacterial small subunit ribosomal RNA
Source: RNAcentral